CCAAUCCUGUGCGGUAAGGUUUAGUCAACCACCGGAAGCGAGUCUUGCGUAGUAGGCAGUAAUGCCUGCACGAAGCGUAGACAGCGACUGCUGAGGGUGUGCUAUUGUUUGUAAUAUUAUCCUGUUAUAAGGAAU
This is a non-coding RNA of Niastella yeongjuensis, 135 nucleotides long. The record is from Rfam. NCBI's taxonomy places the organism in Bacteria, Pseudomonadati, Bacteroidota, Chitinophagia, Chitinophagales, Chitinophagaceae.